UACGUAGGGGGCUAGCGUUGUCCGGAAUCAUUGGGCGUAAAGAGCGUGUAGGCGGCCCGGUAAGUCCGCUGUGAAAGUCGGGGGCUCAACCCUCGAAUGCCGGUGGAUACUGUCGGGCUAGAGUGCGGAAGAGGCGAGUGGAAUUCCUGGUGUAGCGGUGAAAUGCGCAGAUAUCAGGAGGAACACCGAUUGCGACGGCAGCUCGCUGGGACGUCACUGACGCUGAGACGCGAAAGCGUGGGGAGCAAACAGG
This 253-nucleotide ribosomal RNA is filed under the name uncultured bacterium. Its description in RNAcentral is "partial 16S ribosomal RNA". It matches the Rfam family "Bacterial small subunit ribosomal RNA", at positions 524 to 776 of the family's 1533-position model. The record is from RNAcentral.